UCAGAUCACAGGUGAUGUGUUACUCUGGAUUUGGCUUUUUAACUUGCUACCUGGGUGCUGGUAAUUUCGGUACAGGACAGCAACUUGCUGGCUAUGACAGGCAGAAGGUCAGUAUAUGAGCUCAUGAUGUGUUGUCUGCUUGCUAGCUGAACUUCUCAAGUCUGAAAGUAAUGUCAGAAUUUCAGUUUCACUGGAGUGAAUGUAGGCCUGGAGAAGGAAUUGUGGGGUUUGGAGUUGAUUUUCCCCAUAGUUUUUUAAGGCACAUUUGUUCUAGAAGUACAUGGACUGGAGGAUGCAGUUUUCAGACACUCCUUAUGACAAGGAGUUUGUUGCCUAUCUCAACUCUGCUUCUGUGGCACAAGCUUAGGUGAGCAGAAUGUACAAUUAUUCUGAAGGGCUGAUCCUGUUGCAUAGCUGGAAGCUGCAGGAGUCCACAGAGGAAAGCUUUUUGCUAUAUUUGACGCAUCAGCUCACGUUUGGCUGUUGUGACCUCUUCAGCUGGUCAUGGCAAGGCUAAACUAAACUUGGUGCUGUUCUCCAGCAAGUGUGAGCACCACUUCUGAGAAGGCUUCAGUCAUCCUACUGAUUAUCUGUUGACACUGCAUCUCCUGUGAUGAAGGAGAGCCACCUUUGAACCUGUUCGUAAAUGACAGAAUAGCUGACGAGGUCUGUUCUAGUCUGGUCAGGUACACAUGUCUCAGGAUGUAUAAUGUAUGUUUUUUUUCUCACAUCGUUCAAGAGCCUCACACCCUAUUACAGAGGGGUUGGGGCUCUAGAGACAUCACAGCUGAGUCAACUGAGAUAAUUGCUUACAAGUCCUUAAAGAUGCUGAUUAAAUGCUGGAACAGAUCUCAUGCCUUUUGGUCUCCUAGGGCUUCCACAGAAGCAUUUUCCUAAGCCAGCAGAGAUGGUGACGCCAAAACAGAUGAGCACAUGGUGCUUGCUGAAGGCUUUGGCAAGCACCUUGGUUGAGUUUUCAGGAGCUGGCAGCAAUGGCUCAUUGCUGGAGUGAGACCUGACGUGAUGGUAGUGGCAAGGGUAGCUGAAUGAAAGGCUUGAGUUUUAUGGAGAAGCCUUGGCUAAAUGCUGGCCUCAUCCUCCUCACCUGCAGUCUGGUUGGGUAAAGAGGAGCAGACCAGGUUUCCCUUCUGGACUACAGCCACUGCUGCAGACCUUUUCAGCCUAAGUGGUACUUCCAAAUGGCACUUUUUGCCUCCACCUGGAGCCAUAAAGGUAAGCAAAGCCACUCCAAGAACCAGCUUCCCCAAGCAACCGCCUGCCUGAGGUUAUCUAAGUCUGUCUGCAGGCUUAGGUAUCCCAGGGGCUGGGCUCUGAUGUGGAGCCAGGCUGUGGCCUCCAGGGCACUAGAGUGGCCCAGGCUCUUAAUGGGAUGGUUAGAAGCAGGGACUUGUGGUAUUGCACCCCAUCUAUCCACAGGUACCUGUAAGGGACCUCAUACCAGUUUUGGACCAAAAUGGAAGUUUCUUAGUUUACCUUUCUGUGUGUCUUAGGAGGAACCUGAUUUACUAUGUGCAAUAAUAGGUCUCAAUAAGCCAGGCUUUAGUGACUUCAGUCCCUCAGAUUCAUGUCUUUGUGUGUGCCUUCAAAGCCAUCUCUGUCACCAUCUUGGGCUCAUUUGUAACUGCUGCCAGUGAGUGAGGAUGCUUGUGGGAUGGGACCACCUGCUGCAUCAACUACUGAGAUACUAUUUCAGCUCUGGUUUGCUUGUCUCCUGUACUGUCCUGGUGCCCACAUCCUUCUAGGUGAACAGGAUCCUGGUGUAUGCCCUGUGGGCUUCCUCAGCUGCUGAGGUUGUAGGAUUGGGGAGAUGGUUUGGGAGGGGGUCAGACCUGCCUCUUUCAAUUGCUAGGCUCUUCUUUUCUCCAUGUGCUGCUUUGUAGAUGAUGUGCUGUAAGAAGGAGGUGACAUUGCUCAGAGGACCCCCAGCAACGGUGGGAACUGAGACAGGCAGAUGGGGCUGGCCCCAGGUGCAGCUCCUUUCCCCUUAGGGCAGAUGGGCCCUGCUCUCUGUGUGUUGAGCACAGGGUCUGUGGCUUAGCAGACGAAAGGUAACAGCCCCAGCCAUGGCUGCUGGGGCUGGGGGUGCACACCCUGUGCUCUGUGUGCCCUCGCUCUGCUCUGCAACCCCCAGCCACCACUGCCAUGGCCCCUUUCAGCACAGGAGAAGCACAUGAGCAGUGCAGCAGGACACAGCAGCAGGUGAGCAGCACAGUGGGUGAAGAGGAGGAACACUCCCAGGCCCAGCCAAACUCUGACACUGCCCCUCGGCCAAACUGGCUGGGGCACAAAGCUGCCAGACACAGCACACCGAUCUCUCUCCCCCCACUACAUCCUGGGACCAGAGCCUAAACCAGCACAAAGCCUUGCUCCCUCCCUCAGGUUGGCUCUGCUCCAGGCUCCACUUAGCAUCAAUUAUUCAGUGCCGACUGGCUGAAGCCUUGCAGAGGCACACAACGGGGCUUGAUGAGCUUUCCAUGUCGUGGGUGGUGGGCAGGGAGGCUGAGGAGCGCAGCCAUGGCUUGGCAGAGACCCAGCAAGCAACAGGGACAGAAGUGGCCACCUGCCUGUCCCAGCUCCUGGCACUGCUGGUUUGGCUGUUCAUGAGCCAGGAAGGACAGGAGCCAUACGGGGCUGCAGGGCACCGUUGCUGAGCACAGCCUGGGGAGUCUGCAGUUCUGCCUUGGGGUCGUUUCUGGGCAGGAAUCAGCCCUGGGAACUGGAGAGCUGGUGUAGAGUUCUCUGAAAGCCAUGACGAGAGCAGUGGCUCCACCAGGGAAAGGGUGAUAGGAAGUACUGGCAAAUACCAAAUGCAGGGAGAGAAGCUGUGGGAGGACCAGUCCCUGGCUGACAAGGCCAUUAGAAUUUAGGCAGCAGUCUCAAUACCUUCUACGGAGUUCAUUUGCCACUGGUUCCAGUGCUGUCCAGCAAGUGGAUAUUGGUAACGUUGGGCUUUGGGACUGCCCUGCUCUUUGUCCCCUGCAAGCAGCAGCCAGGCCCUGGGGGGACACAGGAGAGGGCAGGAGGUGCUGCUUGACUGAUGCAGGGGCUAUCUGCCCUCCCAUCCUAUUAGGGACAUGAGUACUUUCCAUACUGACACCUACCUGC
This is a long non-coding RNA of Neopelma chrysocephalum (saffron-crested tyrant-manakin), 3126 nucleotides long. RefSeq lists it as uncharacterized. The record is from RefSeq and is a predicted model, not a curated record. Lineage: Eukaryota; Metazoa; Chordata; Aves; Passeriformes; Pipridae. The transcript has 3 exons.